Molecule: long non-coding RNA, 327 nt
Filed under: Gallus gallus (chicken)
Lineage: Eukaryota; Metazoa; Chordata; Aves; Galliformes; Phasianidae
Source: RNAcentral
GGGCCGCGCUCCCCCCGGCCCUGGGCAGCAGCCAAAAGUCCAGAGCCGAAAAGUAGUGGUGAUUGAUGGCAGCGUUUGCCGGAGCCGCCCAUUGGGAACGUUAAGCACUGGGCAACCCCAAGAAGGCUCAGCAGCGCAUGGGGUGGGCUCAGGGAGAAAAGGCAGAGCAACACCAACAGCUCCAGCAGCAGCGUGGGGGAAAUUAAACAGAGAUAUAACUUAAAAAGCUCUGGAGGGGCGACUGCUUCAUUCAGUGCACUCUGCAUCACACAGAACCCCCUCCUCAGGCAUCAACCGGCUCUGAAACCAAAGGAAAACCAAUGAGAA